RNAcentral lists this ribosomal RNA (440 nucleotides) under uncultured bacterium. Its description in RNAcentral is "partial 16S ribosomal RNA". It matches the Rfam family "Bacterial small subunit ribosomal RNA", at positions 338 to 795 of the family's 1533-position model. The record is from RNAcentral.
CCUACGGGUGGCUUCAGUGGGGGAUAUUGCACAAUGGGCGCAAGCCUGAUGCAGCGACGCCGCGUGAGCGAAGAAGUAUUUCGGUAUGUAAAGCUCUAUCAGCAGGGAAGAAAAUGACGGUACCUGACUAAGAAGCUCCGACUAACUACGUGCCAGCAGCCGCGGUAAUACGUAGGGGGCAAGCGUUAUCCGGAUUUACUGGGUGUAAAGGGAGCGUAGACGGUGAGACAAGUCUGAAGUGAAAGCCCGGGGCUCAACCCCGGGACUGCUUUGGAAACUGCCUGACUGGAGUGCUGGAGAGGCAAGCGGAAUGCCUGGUGUAGCGGUGAAAUGCGUAGAUAUUAGGAAGAACACCAGUGGCGAAGGCGGCUUGCUGGACAGUAACUGACGUUGAGGCUCGAAAGCGUGGGGAGCGAACAGGAUUAGAUACCCGUGUAGUC